AGGGGGUGAAUGAUAUAAGAUCCUACAACACACCACUGCCAAGCAAGAGAGGUCCUGUCUUUGCCAUCACCAGAAGUUCCUUUGCUCCUCAGAGAAGUCACAUUACAAGGAGACACAGAACUUCUGCUCUCUACUUACAAAUGGUUGCAAUACUUUAAUCUCUCAUAUAACUAAAUAAAAACAACACAUAAGGCCUGUCUGAGGAGUGAGCUCAACUUUGUCUUCUGCUUGACCUGGGCUGUUUAAACACCCUGAGGAGUCUGGUCCCUGGAUACUUAACACUUGGUCUCUGGGUAAUAAUGGGGCUCAUUACCUGAUGUUUACCCUGAGGUAGAGAGGAUGUGAAAGAAAUAAAGAACUUUGAAAGAAA
Erinaceus europaeus (western European hedgehog) is the source of this 370-nucleotide long non-coding RNA. RefSeq lists it as uncharacterized. The transcript is spliced from 3 exons. The record is from RefSeq and is a predicted model, not a curated record. NCBI's taxonomy places the organism in Eukaryota, Metazoa, Chordata, Mammalia, Eulipotyphla, Erinaceidae.